This 253-nucleotide ribosomal RNA is filed under the name uncultured bacterium. RNAcentral describes it as "partial 16S ribosomal RNA". It matches the Rfam family "Bacterial small subunit ribosomal RNA", at positions 524 to 776 of the family's 1533-position model. The record is from RNAcentral.
GACGUAGGGCGCGAGCGUUGUCCGGAUUUAUUGGGCGUAAAGAGCUCGUAGGUGGCUUGUUGCGUCUGCCGUGAAAGCCCGUGGCUUAACUACGGGUCUGCGGUGGAUACGGGCAGGCUAGAGGCUGGUAGGGGCAAGCGGAAUUCCUGGUGUAGCGGUGAAAUGCGCAGAUAUCAGGAGGAACACCGGUGGCGAAGGCGGCUUGCUGGGCCAGUUCUGACGCUGAGGAGCGAAAGCGUGGGGAGCGAACAGG